RNAcentral lists this ribosomal RNA (252 nucleotides) under uncultured bacterium. Its description in RNAcentral is "partial 16S ribosomal RNA". It matches the Rfam family "Bacterial small subunit ribosomal RNA", at positions 524 to 776 of the family's 1533-position model. The record is from RNAcentral.
UACGGAGGAUGCGAGCGUUAUCCGGAUUUAUUGGGUUUAAAGGGUGCGUAGGCGGGCUUUUAAGUCAGCGGUAAAAAUUCGGGGCUCAACCCCGUCCGGCCGUUGAAACUGGGGGUCUUGAGUGGGCGAGAAGAAGGCGGAAUGCGUGGUGUAGCGGUGAAAUGCAUAGAUAUCACGCAGAACCCCGAUUGCGAAGGCAGCCUUCCGGCGCCCUACUGACGCCGAGGCACGAAAGUGCGGGGAUCGAACAGG